This 392-nucleotide ribosomal RNA is filed under the name uncultured bacterium. RNAcentral describes it as "bacterial SSU rRNA". It matches the Rfam family "Bacterial small subunit ribosomal RNA", at positions 357 to 765 of the family's 1533-position model. The record is from RNAcentral.
GGGAAUAUUGCAAAAUGGGCGAAAGCCCGAUGCAGCAACGCCGCGUGGGCGAUGAAGGCCUUCGGGUCGUAAAGCCCUUUUUGAGGGGAUGAGGAAGGACAGUACCCUCAGAAUAAGCCUCGGCUAACUACGUGCCAGCAGCCGCGGUAACACGUAGGAGGCGAGCGUUAUCCGGAUUUACUGGGCGUAAAGCGCGUGCAGGCGGAUUGGAGAGUUGGAUGUGAAAGCUCCCGGCUUAACUGGGAGAGGUCGUUCAAUACUUCCCGUCUUGAGUGCAGUAGAGGGAAGUGGAAUUCCGGGUGUAGUGGUGAAAUGCGUAGAUAUCCGGAGGAACACCAGUGGCGAAAGCGGCUUCCUGGACUGUAACUGACGCUCAGACGCGAAAGCUAGGG